Transfer RNA from Ipomoea nil (Japanese morning glory), 74 nucleotides. It matches the Rfam family "tRNA". Rfam says of the family: Transfer RNA (tRNA) molecules are approximately 80 nucleotides in length. Their secondary structure includes four short double-helical elements and three loops (D, anti-codon, and T loops). Lineage: Eukaryota; Viridiplantae; Streptophyta; Magnoliopsida; Solanales; Convolvulaceae. The record is from Rfam.
GGUUUUGUGGUGUAGUUGGUUAUCACAUUAGUCUUACACACUGAAGGUUUCUGGUUCAAGUCUGGGCGAAGACA